This 161-nucleotide ribosomal RNA is filed under the name uncultured bacterium. RNAcentral describes it as "partial 16S ribosomal RNA". It matches the Rfam family "Bacterial small subunit ribosomal RNA", at positions 358 to 511 of the family's 1533-position model. The record is from RNAcentral.
GGAAUCUUCCACAAUGGACGCAAGUCUGAUGGAGCAACACCGCGUGAGUGAAGAAGGGUUUCGGCUCGUAAAGCUCUGUUGUUAAAGAAGAACACGUAUGAGAGUAACUGUUCAUACGUUGACGGUAUUUAACCAGAAAGUCACGGCUAACUACGUGCCAG